ACUAACAUUAAAGGGGAAUUCAACAGAUGCAAUGGGCCAUGCCUAUAGUCCCAGGAGUUCUGGGCUGUAGAGCAUUGUGCUGAUCAGAUGUCCAAACUAAAUUCAGCAUCAACAUGGUGACCUUGUGGGGAGCCGGAGGACCACCAGGUUGCCUCAGGAGGCAUGAAGUGGUCCAGGUUGCAAUUGGAGCAGAAUCAAACUCCCAUACUGAUCAAUAGUGGGAUCAUGCUUGUGGAUAGCAACUGCAUUCAAAUCCUGGAAGCAUAGCAAGACCUCAUUACU
Molecule: signal recognition particle RNA, 282 nt
Filed under: Cercocebus atys (sooty mangabey)
Lineage: Eukaryota; Metazoa; Chordata; Mammalia; Primates; Cercopithecidae
Description: Metazoan signal recognition particle RNA (ENSCATG00000017906.1)
Rfam family: Metazoan signal recognition particle RNA (bases 51-259)
About the family: The signal recognition particle (SRP) is a universally conserved ribonucleoprotein. It is involved in the co-translational targeting of proteins to membranes.
Source: RNAcentral